This 255-nucleotide ribosomal RNA is filed under the name uncultured bacterium. Its description in RNAcentral is "partial 16S ribosomal RNA". It matches the Rfam family "Bacterial small subunit ribosomal RNA", at positions 57 to 305 of the family's 1533-position model. The record is from RNAcentral.
GCAAGUGGUGCGACGAACCAGGGCUUGCCCUGGGGCCAAGCCGCGAACGGGUGAGUAACACGUGAGUAACCUGCCCCGAUGACCGGGACAACCCGAGGAAACUCGGGCUAAUACCGGAUGUGGCGCACAGGUGUAAGCCUGUUCGCUAAAGGAAGCUUCGGCCUCCGCAUUGGGAGGGGCUCGCGGCCCAUUAGCUUGUUGGUGGGGUAACGGCCUACCAAGGCUGCGAUGGGUAGCUGGUCUGAGAGGACGAUC